CUACGACGGGUACGGGUUGUGAGAGCAAGAGCCCGGAGAUGGAUUCUGAGACACGAAUCCAGGCCCUACGGGGUGCAGCAGGCGCGAAAACUUUACAAUGCCGGCAACGGCGAUAAGGGGACCUCGAGUGCCAGGUUACAAAUCUGGCUGUCGUGAUGCCUAAAAAGCAUUGCAUAGCAAGGGCCGGGCAAGACCGGUGCCAGCCGCCGCGGUAACACCGGCGGCUCGAGUGGUAACCGUUAUUAUUGGGUCUAAAGGGUCUGUAGCCGGCCGGAUAAGUCUCUUGAGAAAUCCAGCAGCUCAACUGUUGGGCUUUCAGGAGAUACUGUUCGGCUCGAGGCCGGGAGAGGUGAGAGGUACUUCAGGGGUAGGGGUGAAAUCUUGUAAUCCUUGAAGGACCACCAGUGGCGAAGGCGUCUCACCAGAACGGACCUGACGGCAAGGGACGAAAGCUAGGGGCACGAACCGGAUUAGAUACCCGGGUAGUCCUAGCCGUAAACGAUACUCGCUAGGUGUCGGCCACGGUGCGACCGUUGUCGGUGCCGUAGGGAAGCCGUGAAGCGAG
RNAcentral lists this ribosomal RNA (565 nucleotides) under uncultured archaeon. Its description in RNAcentral is "bacterial SSU rRNA". It matches the Rfam family "Archaeal small subunit ribosomal RNA", at positions 258 to 823 of the family's 1478-position model. The record is from RNAcentral.